UACGGAGGAUCCAAGCGUUAUCCGGAAUCAUUGGGUUUAAAGGGUCCGUAGGCGGACUAAUAAGUCAGUGGUGAAAGUCUGCAGCUCAACUGUAGAAUUGCCAUUGAUACUGUUAGUCUUGAGUCAUUAUGAAGUGGUUAGAAUGAGUGGUGUAGCGGUGAAAUGCAUAGAUAUCACUCAGAAUACCGAUUGCGAAGGCA
This 200-nucleotide ribosomal RNA is filed under the name uncultured bacterium. RNAcentral's name for it is "partial 16S ribosomal RNA". It matches the Rfam family "Bacterial small subunit ribosomal RNA", at positions 524 to 723 of the family's 1533-position model. The record is from RNAcentral.